RNAcentral lists this ribosomal RNA (253 nucleotides) under uncultured bacterium. Its description in RNAcentral is "partial 16S ribosomal RNA". It matches the Rfam family "Bacterial small subunit ribosomal RNA", at positions 524 to 776 of the family's 1533-position model. The record is from RNAcentral.
UACGUAGGUGGCAAGCGUUGUUCGGAAUCAUUGGGCGUAAAGGGCGUGUAGGCGGUUUGUCGCGUCGGGAGUGAAAACCAUGAGCUUAACUCAUGGCUUGCUUUCGAUACGGGCAGACUAGAGGCAUGCAGGGGAGAACGGAAUUCCUGGUGUAGCGGUGAAAUGCGCAGAUAUCAGGAGGAACACCGGUGGCGAAGGCGGUUCUCUGGGCAUGUCCUGACGCUGAGGAGCGAAAGUGUGGGGAGCGAACAGG